This is a long non-coding RNA of Salmo salar (Atlantic salmon), 1660 nucleotides long. RefSeq lists it as uncharacterized. The record is from RefSeq and is a predicted model, not a curated record. Lineage: Eukaryota; Metazoa; Chordata; Actinopteri; Salmoniformes; Salmonidae.
AGCAGGCCCCUCCUAACGCUCCUCCACCAGUAACUCUGAGGACUACUCCCAGUAGUCAGACAAAGGAGAGGGAGAACACAGUGAGGAGCCAAAGGGCCUGUCGGGGGCAGACCACUGGAAAGGCCCAGCCCCCACCUUGGGGGAGGAGUCCAGGGAGGAGGAGUUUGACGAGUACUUUGAGGACAUGUUUCUUUGACCACCCUGCCCUUGGAUUUCUGCCAGCAAGAGUCAACACGCGGGGAGUCAACACGCGGGAGUCAACACGCGGGGAGUCAACACGCGGGGAGUCAACACGCGGGGAGUCAACACGCGGGGAGUCAACACGCGGGGAGUCAACACGCGGGAGUCAACACGCGGGAGUCAACACGCGGGGAGUCAACACGCGGGAGUCAACACGCAGGAGUCAACAUAGAUUUGAUUGAUUUUCUAUUAGACGUUGUUGUCUUCAUUUAUUAUUUCAGUUUGUCUGAAGCUAAAUAAAAUGCAGGUUCUUUUUUAAACCUGAGCUUCUAAUUCAACCUCCUGACAUUUCAUUCUAACUGAAAUAUAGACUACAAUAUGCAUGAAGUGCCAUGUAAGAACCCAGUAUCGAAGUGUAUUUAGAAAAAGCACAAUCCACUAAGAACUCCCAAGAAAGAACAAUCUGAAAAGAAAACUAGAGGACGAGAAACAUUCAACCACAUGAGGUUGGUGGCACCUUAAUAGGGGAGGACGGGCUCGUGGUAAUGGCUAGAGCGUAAUAGGUGGAAUGGUAUCAAACACAUGGUUUCCAUGGUUUCUCUGUGUUUGAUGCCAUUCCAUUCGUACCGUUCCAGCCAUUAUUAUGAGCCGUCUUCCCCUCACCAGCCUCCACUGCAUUCAACGAUGGUAGUAGAGACAGAGACAAAAUACAAGCCCAGGCAUUGGAAAGUGCAUGUAUUAACACAUCAAUAUUGUUCCUGUUGGGUUAUAGUUCACCAAUGUUCUGUAUAGGGUUAUAGAUACCCAGACCAUAUGAACCAAUGUCACUGAGUUCCUCAGAUGCUGUAGCACUAGGAUUAGGAAGCAGUGCAUUAUGCCCAACGUUGCUUGGUGUGCUGUUUUCAUUAGUGUGUCACUUGCCCAGGGAUUAGACACAUUGGCUUUAAUCACCAGUAACUACUCUUCUAUCUGAAGGAGUCCUUAAGUACACUGAGUUAACACAUUAUAACCGUCCAUGAUAACCGUCCAUUAAAUCCGACCAUGAGAACCGUCCAUGAUAACCAACCAUGAUAAUAUAUACCCUACUACCCCAUUAAUAUACCCUACUACCCCGUUAAUAUACCCUACUACCCCGUUAAUAUACCCUACUACCCCACUAAUAUACCCUACUACCCCGUUAAUAUACCCUAAUACCCCAUUAAUAUACCCUACUACCCCAUUAAUAUACCCUAAUACCCCGUUAAUAUACCCUACUACCCCGUUAAUAUACCCUACUACCCCGUUAAUAUACCCUAAUACCCCAUUAAUAUACCCUACUACCCCGUUAAAGAGUGUGGAUCUCCUUUUACACAGUAUUGUAGGCCUGUAGUUCCUACAGGUCACAGACACAGACAUAAGGUUGCAUUGAUUUCAUAAUCUUUUUCUGAAUGGUCUUUGAUUGAAAAAAUGUCAUGCCUAAAAUGUACACUGUCUUACAUGU